Molecule: ribosomal RNA, 501 nt
Filed under: uncultured bacterium
Lineage: Bacteria
Description: partial 16S ribosomal RNA
Rfam family: Bacterial small subunit ribosomal RNA
Source: RNAcentral
AUUGAACGCUGGCGGCAUGCCUUACACAUGCAAGUCGAACGGCAGCACGGGUGCUUGCACCUGGUGGCGAGUGGCGAACGGGUGAGUAAUACGUCGGAACGUACCUUAUCGUGGGGGAUAACGCAGCGAAAGCUGUGCUAAUACCGCAUACGCCCUGAGGGGGAAAGCGGGGGAUCGCGAGACCUCGCGCGAUUAGAGCGGCCGAUGCCUGAUUAGCUUGUUGGUGGGGUAAAAGCCCACCAAGGUGACGAUCAGUAGCUGGUCUGAGAGGACGAUCAGACACACUGGGACUGAGACACGGCCCAGACUCCUACGGGAGGCAGCAGUGGGGAAUUUUGGACAAUGGGGGCAACCCUGAUCCAGCAAUGCCGCGUGAGUGAAGAAGGCCUUCGGGUUGUAAAGCUCUUUUGUCAGGGAAGAAACACCGGCUCUAACACAGUCCGGGAAUGACGGUACCUGAAGAAUAAGCACCGGCUAACUACGUGCCAGCCGCCGCGGUAA